CGAUUCGAUCGGAAUGGAUCUUGUACCGUACCCGCCGUUGGUAGUGAAGGGCGAUUUUCAUAAUCAGCCGUUUGAAGAUGAGACGUUUGAUUUGGAAUUUUCUAAUGUUUUUGAUCACGCUCUUUAUCCGGAGAAAUUUGUGUCGGAGAUCGAACGGACGUUGAAGGCCGGCGGGUUUUGUGUUUUGCACGUGGCGUUAUCUCCACGCGCUUUUUCCGGAUAAAUUUGUGUCGGAGAUCGAACGGACGUUGAAGGCCGGCGGGUUUUGUGUUUUGCACGUAGCGUUAUCAAGACGGGCUGAUAAGUAUUCGGCGAACGAUUUGUAUAGUGUUGAGCCGUUGAAGAAACUGUUUAAGCGGUCCGAGUUGGUUCAUACUCGAACCGUUGAUGGAUUCGGUUUGGAUACCGAAGUUGUUUUCAGGAAAAAGAGUUGAUUGAACCGGUUCGGAUAUUUUUUAUUUUUUCUGUUUUCCAGGUUG
RNAcentral lists this long non-coding RNA (479 nucleotides) under Nicotiana benthamiana. RNAcentral describes it as "long non-coding RNA (NBEN_LNC039961)". The record is from RNAcentral. Lineage: Eukaryota; Viridiplantae; Streptophyta; Magnoliopsida; Solanales; Solanaceae.